CCCGCCCCCCUCCCCGGGGGGGUGGCCAGCGCCCGCCAGAGGACCAUCAAACUCCAGUCAGUAAACGAUGCAGUCUGAAAAACAUUUAAUAAACUAAAACUUUCAACAACGGAUCUCUUGGUUCUGGCAUCGAUGAAGAACGCAGCGAAAUGCGAUAAGUAAUGUGAAUUGCAGAAUUCAGUGAAUCAUCGAAUCUUUGAACGCACAUUGCGCCCUUUGGUAUUCCGAAGGGCAUGCCUGUUCGAGCGUCAUUACAACCCUCAAGCUCUGCUUGGUAUUGGGCACCGUCCUUUGCGGGCGCGCCUCAAAGACCUCGGCGGUGGCGUCUUGCCUCAAGCGUAGUAGAACAUACAUCUCGCUUCGGAGCGCAGGGCGUCGCCCGCCGGACGAACCUUCUGAACUUUUCUCAAGGUGACCUCGAUCAGUACGCUCCGCCGAA
RNAcentral lists this ribosomal RNA (439 nucleotides) under Botryosphaeria dothidea. Its description in RNAcentral is "eukaryotic LSU rRNA". The stretch from base 98 to 251 matches the Rfam family "5.8S ribosomal RNA". Lineage: Eukaryota; Fungi; Ascomycota; Dothideomycetes; Botryosphaeriales; Botryosphaeriaceae. The record is from RNAcentral.